UUGGAGGGCAAGUCUGGUGCCCGCGGCCGCGGUAAUUCCAGCUCCAAUAGCGUAUAUUAAAGUUGUUGCAGUUAAAAAGCUCGUAGUUGAAUUUCGGGAUUGACGUGAUGGUCAUGCCUUAAGGGGUAUGAACUGUUACAGUUGAUUUCUCACCUUCUGGAGAAACUUGAUGUCCUUUAUUGGGUGUCUUGCGGAUCCAGGACCUUUACCUUGAAAAAAUUAGAGUGUUUAAAGCAGGCAUUUUUGCUCGAAUACAUUAGCAUGGAAUAAUAGAAUAGGACGGCAUGGUUCUAUUUUGUUGGUUUCUAGGAUCACCGUAAUGAUUAAUAGGGAUAGUUGGGGGCAUUAGUAUUCAAUUGUCAGAGGUGAAAUUCUUGGAUUUAUUGAAGACUAACUACUGCGAAAGCAUUUGCCAAGGAUGUUUUCAUUAAUCAAGAACGAAAGUUAGGGGAUCGAAGACGAUCAGAUACCGUCGUAGUCUUAACCAUAAACUAUGCCGACUAGGGAUCGGAUGAUGUUAAUUUUUUAAUGACUCAUUCGGCGCCUUACGGGAAACCAAAGUGUUUGGGUUC
Molecule: ribosomal RNA, 572 nt
Filed under: uncultured Glomeromycotina
Lineage: Eukaryota; Fungi; Glomeromycota
Description: SSU rRNA
Rfam family: Eukaryotic small subunit ribosomal RNA
Source: RNAcentral